GGUGGCUCAGUGAUAGAGCGCUUGUCUUGCAUGCAUGAAGCCCUUAGUUCAAUUCCUAGCACCA
RNAcentral lists this transfer RNA (64 nucleotides) under Dipodomys ordii (Ord's kangaroo rat). It matches the Rfam family "tRNA". From Rfam's summary of the family: Transfer RNA (tRNA) molecules are approximately 80 nucleotides in length. The record is from Rfam by way of RNAcentral. Lineage: Eukaryota; Metazoa; Chordata; Mammalia; Rodentia; Heteromyidae.